RNAcentral lists this long non-coding RNA (517 nucleotides) under Sorghum bicolor (sorghum). RNAcentral describes it as "long non-coding RNA (SBIC_LNC015322)". Lineage: Eukaryota; Viridiplantae; Streptophyta; Magnoliopsida; Poales; Poaceae. The record is from RNAcentral.
AUGGAUGAAAAUUUUUUGAGUGAGUAACUAAACAGGGCCUGAGCCCGCGAGGAGUGGAGCGGAGUCCUAGCUUGGGCUCAUGCGGUCAUGCCUGCCGGCCUUAUCCCGUCGCCGACGUCACCCAGCUGACCGGCGGCGGCCGGACGUUGACGCGAGGACCAGGCCCGACCAGUUCUCUUUGACCGUAUGGUCCAGUUGGCACGCCAAGGACGGGACAUGACCCACCCACACGCCACAUCCCACCUGCUGGCUGCUGCCGCUGCCUCGGCUGCCACACGAUUAUAGCGUGAGGAGGACUAGCUUCACCCAAAAAAUAAAAAAAAAUAAGCUGUCAUCGAAUUUUGCAAUAAGUAUUAAAUAUAGUUAAAAACAAAAACUAAUUAUAUAGUUUGCCUUAAAUCACGAGAUGAAUCUUUUGAUCCUGUGGGGGAUAGACCCCUAUACCCUUACGGCUAGACUUGGACCAGGAGGCUUGGCCCAUUACGAGACGAGUUCAAGGCUUGAUCCGACAGCCUGG